ACGAACGCUGGCGGCGUGCCUAAUACAUGCAAGUAGAACGCUGAAGGAGGAGCUUGCUUCUCUGGAUGAGUUGCGAACGGGUGAGUAACGCGUAGGUAACCUGCCUGGUAGCGGGGGAUAACUAUUGGAAACGAUAGCUAAUACCGCAUAAGAGUAGAUGUUGCAUGACAUUUACUUAAAAGGUGCAAUUGCAUCACUACCAGAUGGACCUGCGUUGUAUUAGCUAGUUGGUGAGGUAACGGCUCACCAAGGCAACGAUACAUAGCCGACCUGAGAGGGUGAUCGGCCACACUGGGACUGAGACACGGCCCAGACUCCUACGGGAGGCAGCAGUAGGGAAUCUUCGGCAAUGGACGGAAGUCUGACCGAGCAACGCCGCGUGAGUGAAGAAGGUUUUCGGAUCGUAAAGCUCUGUUGUAAGAGAAGAACGAGUGUGAGAGUGGAAAGUUCACACUGUGACGGUAUCUCACCAGAAAGGGACGGCUAACUACGUG
Molecule: ribosomal RNA, 494 nt
Filed under: uncultured bacterium
Lineage: Bacteria
Description: partial 16S ribosomal RNA
Rfam family: Bacterial small subunit ribosomal RNA
Source: RNAcentral